Molecule: long non-coding RNA, 1206 nt
Organism: Brienomyrus brachyistius
Lineage: Eukaryota; Metazoa; Chordata; Actinopteri; Osteoglossiformes; Mormyridae
Exons: 3
Source: RefSeq, a predicted model, not a curated record
GUCAGAUCUGGCUUGGAGAAAAUAAUAAAGAGAAGCUACCGUUAGCGUCGAGACUGGAAGAAUGAUGGGGGCUGGGGGAUUUGGUGACUAAUCCACUCACAUCCUUUCUCUGAGACACGGCACUGCACUCUCCCGACGGUCAGCAGGACACCGUGUGUUCAGCUGCCAGCGCUGAGGGGGAGGUAUAAAGAGUCAAAGAUGCCCCACCUCCCUGAGCUGAAUGGGAGAGCCAGGGGGCGGGGCGGAACGUCUGAUUGGCUGGCAUCAGAGGGUGACGUCAAAAUUGGGGAAGGAGCGGUGAGGGGGCCGGAAGAAGGGAGGGUUGAGGUGACUGCUCUGCCACUGGCUUCCUCUCUUUCCUCUCUCCUUCCCACCCUUUCUGUCCGUCUCGCUCUCUCGCUUUCCCCCCACUCUCCCUGCCUACUCCAAGCUGAAAAGGAAUCAGAUUGUUGGAGGAAGAAGGAUGGACUUGUGGCUCUAGGUUUUGAAAACAGACAGGUGACCAUUAAAUUCUAUAUUUAUUUAGGGCAACAGUGGUAUGGAAUAGUGGCCAGAUGUGUAAGCGUGUCAGCGCUGACCCUUUGCGCCGUGAGUGAACGCAUCUGUGCGGCUGACGUUCACAAGCACGUUGUGGUCGCAUCGGCAGGAAUGGCAGGGCUGCCAACCUGGGUCAGCUGGCUGGAGUGAGAUUUUCAAUUCGACACAAGUCUGCACAGGCAUUUACAUGACCCCACCAUGGGCAGCAGUGGCAGGGAUACUGAUUUACCACACCAAAGACUCCACCCCCUCACCCAGAGCAGCACUGAUGGUCAGUCACUCAAAGGAAGGACAACGUUCAACCAAUAAGAACUCAGAGGGGACACAAGCCGGAAAGUGAUUGGUUGGAUCCAGCUUGGGUCUAUGAUUUGAGGAUUCCUUUGGGACUGGAGAAGAGAACUGGACAGAUCGCCACGUGAAAAUGCAGCCUGAAGCGCAAUAAGUAUUCAGAGAGACGUUGAGAGGGUGGUAUAGGAAUCUGCGUUCUGAUAUCAGGGAGAAAUUCCGUGUUAAAUGCAGAGGAAAUGUCGAAAAAUCGAGCAGCAUGACCGUCUGCGUCGGGGAAAAUGAUGAAGUGGACUGAACAGCGUUUCUGAAAAGCAGCCGAGGUCGGGAGGAGUAGCAACAGGGAGGUGAGGAGGUGAUGAAUUACACAUGAGAGUCAGCGAC